CAACCUUUACAGGUCCUUGUGGCUUUGUUAGGCUUGGAUAUUGGAGGGAUUCUAUUGCCGGCUUGAGUACAAGUUGGCUCCUCUUAAAUGCAUUAGCUUAGUCCCUAGUGGAUCAGCUCUCAGUGUGAUAAGUUCUUUACGCUGUGACCGUGAAGCAUCUUAUGGCAAGCUUCUAA
This 176-nucleotide unclassified non-coding RNA is filed under the name Polyporus pseudobetulinus. Its description in RNAcentral is "partial ITS2". The record is from RNAcentral. Lineage: Eukaryota; Fungi; Basidiomycota; Agaricomycetes; Polyporales; Polyporaceae.